GAUGAACGCUGGCGGCGUGCCUAAUACAUGCAAGUCGAGCGAUCAAAGUUGGUACUUGUUCCACCUGCAUUAGCAGCGAACGGGUGAGUAACGCGUGGGUAAUCUACCUUUGAGCGUGGGACAACAUCUGGAAACGAAUGCUAAUACCGCAUAACAACUUUAAACACAAGGUUUAAGUGUGAAAGAUGCAAUUGCAUCACUCAAUGAUGAUCCCGCGUUGUAUUAGCUAAUUGGUUAGGUAAAGGCCCUACCAAGCCAUGAUACAUAGCCGACCUUAGAGGGGGAUUGGCCAACACGGGAAUGGGACACCGGCCAAAAUUCUACGGGGGGGAGCAGGAGGGAAACUUUGCGCAAGGAGCAAAGGCUGACCGAGCAAAGGCGGCGGAGGGAAGAAGGGUCUCGGAUCGUAAAAAUCCGUUGGUAGGGAAGAAAGUUGGGGGGAGUGGAAUGCGCAUCAAGUGACGGUAACUACCCAGAAAGGGACGGCUAACUACGUG
Molecule: ribosomal RNA, 497 nt
Filed under: uncultured bacterium
Lineage: Bacteria
Description: partial 16S ribosomal RNA
Rfam family: Bacterial small subunit ribosomal RNA
Source: RNAcentral